CCCUUAGAUGUUCUGGGCCGCACGCGCGCUACACUGAUGCAUUCAACGAGCCUAGCCUUGACCGAGAGGUCCGGGUAAUCUUUGAAACUGCAUCGUGAUGGGGCUAGAUUAUUGCAAUUAUUAAUCUUCAACGAGGAAUGCCUAGUAAGCGUGAUUCAUCAAAUCGCGUUGAUUACGUCCCUGCCCUUUGUACACACCGCCCGUCGUUCCUACCGAUUGAGUGUGUUGGUGAGGAGUUUGGAUUGGCCUCGGAAGGUGGUUCGCCACCGUCCGUAGCUGAGAAGUUCUCCAAACCGCCCCACUUAGAGGAAGGAGAAGUCGUAACA
This 326-nucleotide ribosomal RNA is filed under the name uncultured eukaryote. Its description in RNAcentral is "partial 18S ribosomal RNA". It matches the Rfam family "Eukaryotic small subunit ribosomal RNA", at positions 1470 to 1796 of the family's 1831-position model. The record is from RNAcentral.